UCGGUGCUCAUCAGGUAU
RNAcentral lists this unclassified non-coding RNA (18 nucleotides) under Chlamydomonas reinhardtii. RNAcentral's name for it is "small RNA Cre_2725". The record is from RNAcentral. Lineage: Eukaryota; Viridiplantae; Chlorophyta; Chlorophyceae; Chlamydomonadales; Chlamydomonadaceae.